CCUGGGGGAGCAGGGCAGGAGAGGGAACCCCCAAGGGGCCGGAUUAGCCACCCCCCGCCCCGUGGUGGGAGCAAGGUGAGAGAGAGGUGUCCGGCGGUGGCGUCACUGCUCUCAGCCUCCUGGGGUGCCCGCUGGGAGGGCAGGCCUGAAGAUCUGAAAAUGAUUCACAAGUCCUGAAAGGACUUCUGAGCCGACCUUCCACCUUGGCGAAGGCAGCAACUCUGGCUAAAUGGUUUUCAGUCUCCGAAGCGGACCUCAGAGCAAGUCUGGCCUGAGGCACACACCCACCAUCCUGGUCUCCCACCCUGCCUUCUGCCUCUGGAGCUGACCCAGCGCAGCAUCCGAGGGUUCUGCCAAACCCCAUGGACCAGGCACACCGAGCCCCGCCCACCGCGAACAUCCCCACCCUGAAAACUGCGGGCCGCCCCUGCCACCUAACGUCCGGCUGCUGAGGAUGCUGGGAGCUGAGCUGGCAGGGCGAGAGAGGAUGAUGCGUGGUUGACCUUGAAUGACACUGGGCUGAGAAGCACGCAACCCCCUGCGCAGCUGAAAUCCGCUGGGUGCUGGUGGAGGGCGCAGAGGACCCAGAAUGGCCGGCGGGGGAGGGAGAUGACCACCGACAACAGCCUCGGAACCGGCCACAGCAGCACCAGAGGAGCCUGCUCCACAGCCUUCUUGCGUCAGUCUCCCAGGCGACCCCAGCAGGCCACCGGAACGAGGACCCUGUCACUGACUGGACUUGCUAUGUCCCCUCCUGGGGAACGGGUCACGGUGUCUUUGGAGGAUGGUGGACCCUCCAUCGAAGUGGGAAGGCUCACACCGUUGGAAGCACGACUGGACCAGAGUAGCGCAAGGUGUGGAGUGUCCUGGACACAAACCUUGUGCAUUUUCUCCAGUUCCCCUGACUGCCUCCCCCUCUGUCUCUGGGUCAGUGCUUCCUCCUCGUCCAGCUGUCCCUCUGCUUAUGGACUUUCGUAAAAUGACAACGGGAAUCGGGAAAUGGGGGCGAACGGGGCAGAUACAACCUCCCUCCCCUUGUGCCUCUGCCGACUGCUUGGCAGCACGUUUUCUCUUCACAUAUACUCUGGAGGAGUCCGUGCACCAGGCCCACUGUGUCUGCCGCUCAAGGUGAAGCGACAUCCAGCAAAGGAAGCGCACUGCAUCAUCGCCUCUGCCCUUCCACUGCCCGAUUCCGCCUCACGGCCCCAUGAUUGCACCUCUCAAAGUGUUCACUCUUUACUCUUUCUUGCCUUGGACUAUGCUUGCUGGGGAAUUUUCACAAAAUAUGUCCACGGGCAAGAAAAACAAAAAAAGGACAGGCAGCAAAUUUCAACCCAGACAUAUACAAAGACAAAAGCUGGGACGUCUCUGGCGGUCCAGUGGUGAAGAAUCCACCGUGCAAUGCACGGGACAUGGGUUCCAUGCCUGGUCAGGAAACUAAG
Long non-coding RNA from Odocoileus virginianus texanus, 1442 nucleotides. RefSeq lists it as uncharacterized. NCBI's taxonomy places the organism in Eukaryota, Metazoa, Chordata, Mammalia, Artiodactyla, Cervidae. The record is from RefSeq and is a predicted model, not a curated record.